UGUGUGUGUGUGUUUGUGUGUAUAUGUGUGUGUGUGUGUAUAUAAUUGUACCCUCUAAAAUGGUUACAAAAAAAGAAUAUAUAUAUAUAUAUAUAUACAUAUACAAACACAUACAAGGAGUGGGCCAUACACACACACACACACACACACACACACACACA
This 161-nucleotide microRNA precursor is filed under the name Marmota monax (woodchuck). The record is from RNAcentral. Lineage: Eukaryota; Metazoa; Chordata; Mammalia; Rodentia; Sciuridae.